CCUACGGGGAGCAGCAGUGGGGGAUAUUGCACAAUGGGGGGAACCCUGAUGCAGCGACGCCGCGUGGGUGAAGAAGCGCCUCGGCGCGUAAAGCCCUGUCAGCAGGGAAGAAAAUGACGGUACCUGAAGAAGAAGCCCCGGCUAACUUCGUGCCAGCAGCCGCGGGAAUACGUAGGGGGCAAGCGUUAUCCGGAUUUACUGGGUAUAAAGGGGGCGCAGACGGCGAUGCAAGCCAGGAGUGAAAGCCCGGGGCCCAACCCCGGGACUGCUCUUGGAACUGCGUGGCUGGAGUGCAGGAGGGGCAGGCGGAAUUCCUGGUGUAGCGGUGAAAUGCGUAGAUAUCAGGAGGAACACCGGUGGCGAAGGCGGCCUGCUGGACUGCAACUGACGUUGAGGCCCGAAAGCGUGGGGAGCAAACAGGAUUAGAUACCCUGGUAGUC
RNAcentral lists this ribosomal RNA (440 nucleotides) under uncultured bacterium. Its description in RNAcentral is "partial 16S ribosomal RNA". It matches the Rfam family "Bacterial small subunit ribosomal RNA", at positions 338 to 795 of the family's 1533-position model. The record is from RNAcentral.